GAUGAACGCUAGCGGCAGGCUUAACACAUGCAAGUCGAGGGGCAGCAUGAGACGGAGAUUCGUCAAAGUCUUGAUGGCGACCGGCGCAAGGGUGCGUAACGCGUGAGCAACUUGCCCGUUUCAGGGGGAUAACCGGUGGAAACGCCGACUAAUACCCCAUAGCAUUGAUUUAAGGCAUCUUUUAUCAAUUAAAGAAUUUCGGAUAAGGAUAGGCUCGCGUGACAUUAGCUAGACGGCGGGGUAACGGCCCACCGUGGCUACGAUGUCUAGGGGUUCUGAGAGGAAGGUCCCCCANACUGGAACUGAGACACGGUCCAGACUCCUACGGGAGGCAGCAGUGAGGAAUAUUGGUCAAUGGUCUGACGACUGAACCAGCCAUGCCGCGUGAAGGUCACGGCCCUAUGGGUCUUAAACUCUUUUGCGAGGGAGCAAUAAGGUCUACGUGUAGGCCGAUGAGAGUACCUCGCGAAUAAGCAUCGGCUAAC
This 485-nucleotide ribosomal RNA is filed under the name uncultured bacterium. RNAcentral's name for it is "bacterial SSU rRNA". It matches the Rfam family "Bacterial small subunit ribosomal RNA", at positions 28 to 501 of the family's 1533-position model. The record is from RNAcentral.